This 72-nucleotide transfer RNA is filed under the name Camelus bactrianus (Bactrian camel). It matches the Rfam family "tRNA". Rfam says of the family: Transfer RNA (tRNA) molecules are approximately 80 nucleotides in length. Their secondary structure includes four short double-helical elements and three loops (D, anti-codon, and T loops). Further hydrogen bonds mediate the characteristic L-shaped molecular structure. tRNAs have two regions of fundamental functional importance: the anti-codon, which is responsible for specific mRNA codon recognition, and the 3' end, to which the tRNAs corresponding amino acid is attached (by aminoacyl-tRNA synthetases). tRNAs cope with the degeneracy of the genetic code in two manners: having more than one tRNA (with a specific anti-codon) for a particular amino acid; and 'wobble' base-pairing, i.e. permitting non-standard base-pairing at the 3rd anti-codon position. The record is from Rfam by way of RNAcentral. Lineage: Eukaryota; Metazoa; Chordata; Mammalia; Artiodactyla; Camelidae. RNAcentral also lists the same sequence under 1 other name.
GAGGGUAUAGCUCAGUGGUAGAGCAUGUGCUUAGCAUGCACGAGGUCCUGGGUUCAAUCCCCCGUACCUCCA